RNAcentral lists this ribosomal RNA (1137 nucleotides) under Salmonella enterica. Its description in RNAcentral is "bacterial SSU rRNA". It matches the Rfam family "Bacterial small subunit ribosomal RNA", at positions 1 to 1129 of the family's 1533-position model. The record is from RNAcentral. Lineage: Bacteria; Pseudomonadati; Pseudomonadota; Gammaproteobacteria; Enterobacterales; Enterobacteriaceae.
AAAUUGAAGAGUUUGAUCAUGGCUCAGAUUGAACGCUGGCGGCAGGCCUAACACAUGCAAGUCGAACGGUAGCACAGAGAGCUUGCUCUCGGGUGACGAGUGGCGGACGGGUGAGUAAUGUCUGGGAAACUGCCUGAUGGAGGGGGAUAACUACUGGAAACGGUGGCUAAUACCGCAUAACGUCGCAAGACCAAAGAGGGGGACCUUCGGGCCUCUUGCCAUCAGAUGUGCCCAGAUGGGAUUAGCUUGUUGGUGAGGUAACGGCUCACCAAGGCGACGAUCCCUAGCUGGUCUGAGAGGAUGACCAGCCACACUGGAACUGAGACACGGUCCAGACUCCUACGGGAGGCAGCAGUGGGGAAUAUUGCACAAUGGGCGCAAGCCUGAUGCAGCCAUGCCGCGUGUAUGAAGAAGGCCUUCGGGUUGUAAAGUACUUUCAGCGGGGAGGAAGGUGUUGUGGUUAAUAACCGCAGCAAUUGACGUUACCCGCAGAAGAAGCACCGGCUAACUCCGUGCCAGCAGCCGCGGUAAUACGGAGGGUGCAAGCGUUAAUCGGAAUUACUGGGCGUAAAGCGCACGCAGGCGGUCUGUCAAGUCGGAUGUGAAAUCCCCGGGCUCAACCUGGGAACUGCAUUCGAAACUGGCAGGCUUGAGUCUUGUAGAGGGGGGUAGAAUUCCAGGUGUAGCGGUGAAAUGCGUAGAGAUCUGGAGGAAUACCGGUGGCGAAGGCGGCCCCCUGGACAAAGACUGACGCUCAGGUGCGAAAGCGUGGGGAGCAAACAGGAUUAGAUACCCUGGUAGUCCACGCCGUAAACGAUGUCUACUUGGAGGUUGUGCCCUUGAGGCGUGGCUUCCGGAGCUAACGCGUUAAGUAGACCGCCUGGGGAGUACGGCCGCAAGGUUAAAACUCAAAUGAAUUGACGGGGGCCCGCACAAGCGGUGGAGCAUGUGGUUUAAUUCGAUGCAACGCGAAGAACCUUACCUGGUCUUGACAUCCACAGAACUUUCCAGAGAUGGAUUGGUGCCUUCGGGAACUGUGAGACAGGUGCUGCAUGGCUGUCGUCAGCUCGUGUUGUGAAAUGUUGGGUUAAGUCCCGCAACGAGCGCAACCCUUAUCCUUUGUUGCCAGCGAUUAGG